AUUGAACGCUGGCGGCAGGCCUAACACAUGCAAGUCUAGCGGCGCGGCGGACGGGUGAGUAAUACCUAUUAAUCUGCCUGUUCGUGGGGGAUAACGUUCGGAAACGUACGCUAAUACCGCAUACUCUCAGCUGAGCCUAGGUGGUAUUAGCUGGUUGGUGGGGUAAUGGGUCACCAAGGCUACGAUCCGUAACUGGUAUUAGAGGAUGAUCAGUAACACUGGAACUGAGACAAGGCCCAGACUCAUACGGGAGGCAGCAGUGGGGAAUAUUGGACAAUGGGCGAAAGCCUGAUCCAGCCAUGCCGCGUGGGUGAAGAAGGUCUUCGGAUUGUAAAGCACUUUAAGUUGGGAGGCGUUACCGACAGAAGAAGCACCGGCUAACUCUGUGCCAGCAGCCGCGGUAAUAC
RNAcentral lists this ribosomal RNA (407 nucleotides) under uncultured bacterium. Its description in RNAcentral is "partial 16S ribosomal RNA". It matches the Rfam family "Bacterial small subunit ribosomal RNA", at positions 30 to 526 of the family's 1533-position model. The record is from RNAcentral.